This 5947-nucleotide long non-coding RNA is filed under the name Homo sapiens (human). Its description in RNAcentral is "HSALNT0074770". Lineage: Eukaryota; Metazoa; Chordata; Mammalia; Primates; Hominidae. The record is from RNAcentral.
CCUUUGGCCCGCCUCCCUCUGGCCUCGCCCCGCCUCGCCCAUCCGCCGCGGCGCGCUGAGCGGGGAGGUGCGAGGGAGCCGCCCCCGCGGUCUGCGCGCUCGCCCGGCGGCUCCCGAGUCCGCGUUCCAAGUGGAACCGGAGCCCGGGCGCGGGCGCCCACGUUCCAUUCCCGGGAAGGCCUGGGAAGGGAGGGAAUCGCUCACCCGCCAGCCCGCCUGCAGGGAAAGGGCUCCUGGAGCUGUCGAUGCCUGCCCGACGCUGAGAUAACUCUUGGGUCCCAGUUAUCCACCAGCCACUUCUGCCUCGAUUCACCAAAGGGCAGGGAAAGAACCUUUUGGUGAGAUGGUGUGAAUUAGCGACAUCCAGCCUGAGCUGAAGUCUCCAGCGGGUCAAAGAAAUCUUUCCAUUUGCAAACUACCAAGGCUGACUUGCUGUGCAUUUGGCGGGCCUCCUGCCCCUGAUUCUGCUGGUUUGGAGAUGCUUUCUCGCUCUUUGGUUGGCUUCUGUCUCCACACAUUGUGGGGAUCCCAGGGAUUCGUCAUAGGACUCUCGGAUCGCUGGUGCCUCCACUGUGAUCUCCGGUCUCCCUGCGGCCAGCACUGACUUCUAGCAACAGAAUCCUGCAUGAGGGCCUAGGCACAGAACUUUAUUUCCACUCUUCUGAACACAUCUAAUGUGAUGCUCUGCAAUUGUCUGAAAUUUAUCCUACCCUAAGUCAUUAUCUUGUCCCCUUCUCUGGAACCUGCUUCACUUCCCGUAUCCCAAGUUCUGGAAGCUGGACGGUCCAAGAUCAUGCUGCCAGCAGAUUUGUGGUCUGGUGAGGGUCUACUUUCUGGUUCAUAGACUGCACCUCCUAGCUGUGUCUUAUGGUAGAAGGGGCAAAAGAGCUCCCUUGAGCUGCUUCUCUAAGGGCACUAAUCCCAUUUGUGAGGGCUCCAGCCCCAUGAUGUAAUCACCUCUCAGAGGCCCCAGCUCCUUAUACCAUCACUUUGAAGGUUAGGAUUUCAAUGUAUGAAUUAUGGGGGGGGAACACAAACACCCAGACCAUAGCAUGUGGAACACCGUCUGACAUGUACGUGCUAAUAGUGUUAGAAGUAGUCUUUGCUCUUAUAUCUUAAUUAUGAUAACUGUUUUCAUCUAUGAUAAUUGCUUUUGUGGAUGUCUUUGUUAGUGUUAGAAGUGGUCUUAGCUCUUAUAUCUUAAUUAUGAUAACUAUUUUCAUCUAUUAUAAUUGCUUUUGUGGAUGUCUUUGUUCCAGCUAGGCUGUGAGUUUCUGGAGGGCUCCAUGCCAAUCCUAGAGGCUUCUAUAACAAAUACUUACUAAACACCUACUAUAUGCCAGGCACAAUACUAGGAGAGACGGCAAUUCAUUAAAUAGGGGAAAAGCCUAGCUCUCAUAGAGGUGAGCUUAUAUUUUACAGGGUUUGAGGGGAUUUAGAAGAGAGAUUGCCCAGGCUGGCAUGGGUAGGGAAGGUAGGUAGGGCCAGAUCAUAGGAAGCCUCAGAUGUGUGUUAAGGAGUACAGACUCUCUAUAGUUAAUGAUAACAUAAAUAGGCCUUUUUUUUUUCUUUCUAGAGUGUCAGUUCCUAUUUAAAACAAAAUCUGAAAUCUUCCUGAAACUAUAUCCUCACCCUUAAAAGAAUUCAAAUUGAUUGGAAAUGUGUCUGCACAUACAUAAUUCAGAGUUAUAUGUGUGCUUACCCAAAAUUUUCUUUACAAAUUAUUGCAAGAAAUGUAAUCAUUAAAAAUUCGCAGCAAUUUUUGUGUAAUACCACUUAAAUAGCAUUUGGUCCAUUGCACCCUAAAUCUUACAUUUUGGAGUUUCAAUAUUAAUUUCAAUCUUAAUUUUCAUAAACCCAACACCAGCCAUCUAAUAUAUUUCCUGUUCAAAUACUUAUUCAUUCCUUCUGGCUUACUAAGGUUCCCUUUUGUGCUUUUAUGUUAAUUUGUUUCUCCCCUUUAGAGUGCCCAGCUUUUGCUCAAGCAGGCCCUGAGGCUGUAAAUUUCUCUCCCUACCCACGGAAUUCCUUCCUUUAAUACCCAUCUGAAGACCUUACUUCUAAUAAGAAAUUUUCCAUUAUUAAAUAAGUGACGUGCACAAAGUUUUUUUCAUCUCAUUUCCACAAUCCUGUUGUCACAUUACAAAUUUCCAUCAUCUGUAGCAUCUGGAAAUACCGAGUGGGAUAGAUAACAUGGCCUGGCUGCUGUUUGUUUUUUUUUUCAUCAGUGUGCUAGAUCUUCCUGGACACGCUGCACAAAUCUCACCUCAGUCUUAGUGCCACCGUGGACGCUGGAAGGAGCCAUUUUAAAAGGCAACCUUAAACAGUUCAGUCUAAUUUAAUAUUAGUGGCCUCCACACCUCUGACUCUUGUAUUAUUAGAAUUGCCUGUUUGGCUUUUAUUUUCCAGUGUGAACUGAUGAAACAGACACAAAGUGAAGUACCCGUUGGUUUCGCGGUCUCCACCUCGAGAGGAAAUCCAAAAGGAGUUUCUGGCAUGUGUGGUGUUGCUUAGCAAUUUACCCAAACAAACAUGUUUCCUCCUCAUUUUUUUCCCCAGUACUUAUUUACUCAAGAACAUUGUAAAAUCAAUUUUUACCACUUGACAUCUGAAAUCAUUAGAAGAAAAUCUGGUGUUUUGGGCUUUAUGAGAAGAACUGCUAACCACACAUGAAUGCAGUAUGCUGCUACCACAAAUUACGCAGUUGAGUUUCCCACAUUUGGAGAAAUCACAGGGAUCAGCAAGUCUUCAGUGGAAUAGAGAAGCCUUGCCCUAGGGAAAACUACCCUUGUGGUCAUGGUAUCUACCCUGCCUGGUGAAGAAGGUCCUUGCUUCCCCUUCUCCUUCCGCCAUGAUUGUAAGUUUCCUGAGGCCUCCCCAGCCAUGUAGAACUGUGAGUCAAUUAAACCUUUUUCCUUUAUAAAUUACCCAGUCUUGGAUAGUAGCUUUAUAGCAGUGUGAAAAUGGACUAAUACAGUAGCCUUUGACCUUUCUUCUUAAAGAUAAGGAUAUUAGCAAAUGUAAACUUUUUACCAACAAACACCUUUUAAAAUAAAUAUCUUUUACAUUUGCCAAAGUCUAUAAACUUUCAUUUUGUGGUACAACAGUAAAUAUAACUUAUUUUAUAUAUUUUAAUUUUUCAUUGUUCACUACCAGUACUUUUUUAAAAGUAUAUUAUCUUUAUAGAUAGUCAUUAACAUAUUGUUAAAUUUAUAUUUUAUAGAAGAUAGUUCCUAGUAUUGUUUAAUUUGUAGAGAUAAAAGAGAAAAUAUGCAGAUCCAACUUCUAAGAGCAUUCAAUAUUAUACACCAAGCUUAUUCCUGAAAACAAUGACCCAGAAAACCACAUGAAAGAGUUUUAUUAUGGAUAUCCUAAAACAAGUAACUAUAAGUUUCAGAUAUAUAUAGAAUAUUCCACAGUUCCUAUAAUAAAAAUUCAUGAGUUUUCUGAUCACCUUCAAUGUUUGUACUGAGUUAACACACCGCUGUUACAUUAAAGCAAACCAUUAAAAAUAAAGCUAGUUUUCUCUCUUUUUUUCAACUUUUAUUUUAGACUCAGAGGUAUAUGUGCAGGUUUGUUACCUGGGUAUAUUGUGUGAUGCUGAGAUUUGGGGUAUGAAAGAUCAUGUCAUCCAGGUACUGAGCAUAGUACCCAAUAGUUAGUUACUACCAGUACUUUACUAACAUGAAUUUUUCUUCCUUGAAUUUUUUUCUCUUUAUUUAAACCUUCUGGAGUAGAUUUUUUAUUAGGUGUUUUUUUUUUGGUUUGUUUUCAAAGAACAACCCAUUAAUGCUUCAUUAUUCCCCAAAACUGUUUAAAAUUAAGAAGGCCUUUCUGUUACCAUAGACAUAAAACGAAUGGAUUGGGCAUUAUAUUUUUCAGUUUAAUCUUUUCUCCUCCUCUUUAGGAUUUUCUAAAUAUUCCUCCACUUUCCUCUGCCAUUAAAUGUUGUUAUGGGAAAAGUAGGAGGUCAGAUUAAACCCAUUGUUUUUCUCUCAGGCUGAGUAGAUGAGUAUUUUAUUAUGAUUAUUAUUUGGCCCAAAAGUUAUGUCUGUUUAGUGAAAUUAUUAUUAUUACUAUUGUUAUUGUUAUCCUGCUCUCAGAUACAUCUUUCUGUUGAUUAUUCAGCAUAAUUAUUUACCUAGGAGAUAUUGUGCAUGUUUAAUCAGCAAAUUCAAAUUUUUACUUAUUUUAACAAGGUUUUCUUCUUUUAUAAUUUCAAAUAAUCUGCUGUUUCAUUAAUUCUGUAAAUUUAGCAAUACCUAUUACGCAUAUGUUGAGCUACUGUGUCAUGUUUCUGUAUUAUCUCCUUUCUAAUUUCUCUUUCUGUCAUUUUCUAUUUUUAUUUUUAAUAGGAUUUUUAUAAAUCUUGACCUUCAUAUUAUUGUACCAUUCAUGAUUUUGUGGUUUUAAAGGUGGCUUUUCUUUUCCUAAUUAUUUAUUGAAAAUCUUUAAUUCCUCCUGUGAAUUCUGCCAGCUCACUUUUCAUUUUUCCAUGGUCAUGUAUUUUAUUUUAUAUUUUUCAUUCUUUUUUAAAGUUAAAAUUAUUUUUAAAGGAUUUCUGUUCCUGGCUCUGAUGGAGCAACACGGACAGAUUUACCCUCUUACUUAAACAAAAUACAGACAAAAUUUAUAAAGGAUGGUUCUGAAACAUGGGACAACAGGCAGUAUAAACAGUAAUUUUUCAAAGAAGAUAAAAAAAGGAAGUAAACCCUAUGGUUUCUCUACUGAUUCCCUAGAAAGAGAUUUCAAGCUAUCAGUCUCACUCAAUUGAGAAGACAGAGUUCAUUGAGAAUUUGGGGAAAGUCAAAGUGGACAGAAUUCACAAAGAACUAAAAAAAAGAGUAUUGUGCAGAGAAAGAGCUCCAGCUACCUCCACAGAGUUUCCCUUGAGUUUUCAGAUCAUGCGUUUGGUGAACCCACCUGAGGCAAGGGAAAGAACUACCAGAAAGAAGCAGGUGGAAAAAUUCCUGAUGUUCACAUAGACCGGGAAAUUUCUCAAGUUUUUGUCAUCUGAAUUGAAGAAAUCUUAUACUGUAUGAGGUGUUGAAGAGAAUACUCAGAAGGACAAUGCCUCCGUAGUAGGACCAAACUAGCCUAGAGUAAAGGCUGGUCUGUCUUGUAUGACUCCUUGUGAAACUAUUCUGCUGAGUAUGUCACCAAUUUUCUUAGCGAAUCUAAGUGAUUCCAAGUAAUAAGUUGAAAUUUUCACUAUUUGUAUGUUUUUAUUGAUUAUUCAUUGUGGUUCUAAUAGUUUUUGGUUUAUAAUAUUUUGUUGGUCUGUUAUUUGCUGCAUAGUGGUUUAUGAUAGUUAUAUCUUUAUUGGAUCUUUAACAAUGUAGAAUAAGUUCUUUGUUUCAUUUCAUGUUAUUUGUUUCUAAAUUUUACUUCUUAUUUAACAGUAAUGUUGCAAAUCUUUAAAAAUGUUUUACUUUAUUUGUAAGGAAAACACCUAAAGCAAAGUGAAACAAUAAGUGAUGUAGGAUCUAUUAUUAUUAUUUUCCAUCAUGUGAAUCUUUGUCUUAACAGAGAGGCUUCGUCUAUUUAUAUUUGUUGUUACAAUUGAUUUCUUUCAUCAUUCUGUUAUUUCAGUGUUUCUCUUGAAAAAUAGGUUCUUGUUAUUCAAUGAUUUAGUUUUCACUUUAUGUAUCGUUUUCUUUAUUUUGUCCUUCAUAUUUUGCAAGCUAUAUAGCCUCUGUUAAAUUCCAUUAAUGGAUAUCUUUAAGCACUCUUUGACAUGUAAUUUUCUAAUGUCUCAGUAAAUAAAGAAUUUGUCAACAUAAAAUGUGUGUGUAGGCCAGGUGCGGUGGCUCAUGCCUGUAAUCCCAGAACUUUGGGAGGCCAAGGUGGGUGGAUCACCUGAGGUCAGGAUUUUGAAACCAGCCUGACCAACAUGGCGAAACCCCGUCUCUACUAAAAGAAUACAACACUUAGCCGGACGUGGGGG